RNAcentral lists this transfer RNA (67 nucleotides) under Cryptocercus meridianus. Its description in RNAcentral is "tRNA-Phe". Lineage: Eukaryota; Metazoa; Arthropoda; Insecta; Blattodea; Cryptocercidae. The record is from RNAcentral.
ACUUGAAUAAGCUUAUAAUAUAGAGCUUAACAUUGAAGAUGUUAUUGAGAUUUUUAAUCUUCUAGUA